AAACAGGACAAUUUGCUGAGGCCUGGGAGCACCCCACUCCAGAGAAUCCCUGAUGUCCCAAAAUUUGGUUGAGAUCUAAAGUUUAUUUUGCUGUACACCUCUUUGUCUGCAGUUUUACUUACUCCCAACAAAGAAGGUGCGUUUUCCUGCCUCCAUGACGAUGGAGGGGAGGCAACUCCUUUCUGGAAUUUCAUCUGGCUUCCAGCAGGGAAGACAAGGUGUCACUCUUGUCACCCAGGCUGGAGUGCAGUGGCCAUGAUCAUGGCUCACUGCAGCCUCCAGCUCCCAGGCUCAAGUGAUCCUCCCACCUCCACCUCCCAAGUAGCUGGGACUACAGGUAUGUGUCACCAUGCCUGGCUAAAUUUUUUUGUAUUUUUUGUAGAGAUGAGGGCUUGCGAUGUUGCCCAGGCUGGUCUCCGACUCCUGGGCUCAAGUGAUCCCCCUCCCUCAGCCUCCCGAAGUGCUGGGAUUACAGAUGUGAGCCACCUCGCCGGCCCCCUGCUUCUACUCUUGACUCUAGAGAUUGUUAUUUCUCAGUUCUACACUUGCCCUUUUAUACUCUACUGCAGGGACCUAGAGUGUGUGAACCCCAUUUCCCAGGCUCUCGUGCCCGCUGGCUUCUGCCAGUAGGGGGCACUAUAAGGAAAUCAGAAGGCAGGAGGUGGAGAGUAACUUACUGCUUCUGGAUUCAAUCGUGUGGCAGUUGCUGGCCAUUUCUAUAGUGAAAGUGGAGGAGGGAUUAUUCUUUACUCUAGGAAUUCCUUCCAUGGUCAAGGUGGCACCUCUCUAGUAGACAGAGGAUGAAAGUGAUAGUGUCUCCAAAUGGCACAGAAGCUGGUGCAGUUCCAUUGGUUCCAGCUAAGGGUAUUUUUAGCAGCUUUUUUAUCUAUGAUGUCACUCCAUUAUUCUUUUUGACAUCUAUUACUCUUAAAAUUCCCUCUGCAUGAAAUAACUAGAUAGUUUAUCUUUCGUGACUGGACUCUGAUAACACUUUGUUGUAGCCUGUUCUCCACCUAGCCAUUGGUGUCCGAAGGUACCCUGAUCAUGUUAAUUCACUGCUUAAAACUUUCCAAUAGCCUCCCCUCACGUUUAGAAUAAAAUUCAAAAUGUGAAUUUUUCUACACAUAUUCUACAAGCCCUAAAUGCCCUGGCCCGUGACUACAUCUUCAACCUCUUUUUGUAGGAUUCUCCCACUUAGUGAGUUUCAGCCAGAGUGCCUUCCUUGCUGUACACUACUGAGCAUUCUAAACACAUUCCCAGCCCGGGGCUUUUGCAUUCAUUCUGUUUCCUUUGCCUGUAGUGUCCAGCUAUCAUUCUCACUUAAUUCAAUUGCUGCUUCAAUAUUACCUCCCUAAAGAAGACUUCCCUGACCACCAUGUCUAAAAUAUCAGUCUCUGCUACUUUCUGUCCCUGACCCUGUUUUAUUUUUCUUAAUAUAAAUGUAUCUAUUUGUUUGUUGUUUUUAAUGUGUCUUCCUCACUGGAAUAUCUUGUAAAAUCAGGGUCUUUGUUGUUCAUGUUCACUGUAAUGUUAGUACCUUGAAUAGAAUCUGGCCCACAGUAGGUGCUCAGUAAGUAUUUAUUGAAUGAAUGAAUGAAUGAAUGGUACACUCUCACAUACUCUAGUCUUAGUGUCUUGGCACUGUCUACUUUUGUGGCUUUCUCAACAGCCUGUAAUUUGAAGCUUAAGGAGAUUCAUGAUGAAGCAAGGAAAUUGGCAAGACCAUCAAACUCUUCUUCACUUCUACUUCUCGCUUGCCUGCUUUGGACAAAAACAAAAAAAUCCAGCCCAUGUGGAAAUACCAUAGUUAAAGUUGGGAGACAGUAGGUGAAAAGGCAAGCAGGCUUAUAUAACAAAAGCAGUAGCUCCAACAUAUACAAAGUGUUUAAUUCAAUUAUGUAAGUAACUGAGGAGUGCUUGUGCAUAGGAAGCCAAUCAACUAAUAUCAGUAUCUAGAACCGUGUGGCAACAAUAUUUAAAUCAGCUCAAAGGCCGCCAGAGAGUGUACCCAAUAAUCUUUAUCUGAUCUGAAAGGGUAACCAGUUCUAAAUGCUGGCUAAUAAAUAUUGUGUAAGGAACUAGGUAAAUUGAGAUAUGAAUCAUGCUUCCAUUUAAAAAAAAUGUAAAUAAUGAACAGAAUUCCAGUGUGGAAUUAGAACAGGAAUCGGUUUCACCUAGGGCAAAUUAAUUGCUAAGUAGCGAAGAGCUGCUGCUUUUGCUGAGCAUAAGAUGUGAGGAUUUCUUUCUUUCUUUCUUUUUUGAGGCAGAGUCUCGCUCUGUCGCCCAGGCUGGAGUGCAGUGGUGCAAUCUUAGCUCACUGCAACCUCCACCUCCCAGGUUCAAGCAAUUCUCCUGUGUCAGCCUCCUGAAUAGGUGGAUUUCAGGCAUGUGCCACCAUGCCCAGCUAAUUUUUGUAUUUCUAGUAGAGACAGGGUUUCACCAUGUUGGUCAGGCUGGUCUCAAACUCCUGACCUCAUGAUCCGCUGCCUCAGCCUCCCAAAGUGCUGGGAUUACAGGCGUGAGCCACCGUGCCGGGCUGAGGAUUUCUUACAAACGAUGUACUCUGAUUCUAAUGGCAUAAUCACCAAGAAUUUACUACCAACUCUUGAACAUUUUCUUUAUUAGUUAGAGAAAUCAACUGAUGGCAUUUUGUUGGGCAUAUUUAAAAAUCACAUCCAAGUGCUUUAAUAGAACAAGGUGAUAUAUUUAUGGAACCAAAGAGAGGACUGGGAAUUCUUUUACUACACUCCCAAGCUGAAACAUUCUCCCUUCAGCUUUUGAAUAUGAUAUACUCAUUGAUUUAAGUAGCUAUGGGUAAUGAAAUCACCACAGCAGGUUAUAGGGGUAAGGGGUGAGUCCUCACAAGCUUCUCCUUUCAGGAAUGCAGUAGACUGUAGUGAUUUUACUAUGCCUGCCCACUAUACUUUUCCAUCCUCCUUUUUCAGCUUAAAAAAAACCAAGUUUUUCUUUUUGUUUUUAUUGGGGGUAAUCAACUCCAUGACCCUUCUCCACCACAACCUUUAGAUCUUUGAUCUGCUCAGUUAUCAGCAGGGAGAGUUUUCUUAAAGGCAAGGAUGAAACAGACACUUUUAAUUAUUUAAACCUCAGGGGGACUAAGGUAGUGAGUGUGUACCCAGGAGUUCUUUCUGCCUUCUGGCCCAAAUUUCAUUACAUUUUCAUUGGAUACUACAUAAAUACAAAACAGUGCCUACAGUAAAUUAUUACAGAGUUUACCUACCUGUAUCUAUGACCCAGAACAUUACCAGCAUUCCUUUUAGGCCCCUACCCAAUCACCACUAUAGAAUUUCUGGGUGAAAGUAAAUACAUGUUUUAACUUUAGAAGCCAAAUAAUUUUUCAGUGUUUUUAUACCAAUUUAUAUUCCCUACCACACAGUCUAGCAGCUGCUUUCUAAAACUUGAUUUAAAAAAAUAAUUACCCAUUCUGGUGGAUGCGUAGUGAUCUCUCUCUCUCUCUCUCUUUUUUUUUUUUCUUUUUUGAGACUCUGUCUCAAAAAAAAAAAAAAAGGAAUGCAGCGGUAUGAUCUCAGCUCACAGCAACCUCUGCUUCCUGGGCUCAAGUCAUCCUCUCACUUUAGCCUCUCUAGUUGCUUGCGUUACAGGUGUGUGCCCCCGUGCCUGGCUAAUUUUUAUAUUUUUAGUAGAGACAGGGUUUUGCCAUGUUGCCCAGGCUGGUCUUGAACUCUUGAGCUCAAGACAUCCACCUGCCUUGGCCUCCCAAAGUGCUGGGGUUACAGGUGUGGGCCACUGCACCCAGCUUGUAGUGAUAUCUCCUUGUGAUGUUAACUUCCAUUUCCCUAGUGACUAAUCAUGGUGGGUUCCUUUUCAUGUGUAUUGACUAUUUGCACAUAUUUCCAUAGCUGGGAAUAGCAGAUUUUAUGAAAGGUGUUUAAGACAACAGACGUGAAUUGAAGCCUCAGACUGCCUUGGACACCUUUCCUAACUUUCAAAACACUCUUCUUCAGCAAAUGCCAAUAUAAAUGUUUGUGUCCACAGAUCAAUAAUAGAAAAGAACAAACACAGGACCAUAGACACUACACACACGCACACAUGCAUAUAACUCUAAGGAAAAGGAGAUAAAGAUCUUUACAAAAGAUGAAGCAUUCUGAUGUGUAAUUCUCACAAUCUCUUAAGACACUGACACAUGAUCUUUGGGGGCGGGGGCGGAGGAGUUAGCCCAAAGGAAGGCUGUGAGGGAUUAAAGAAUAGAUUAUAAGAAAACAGGAGAGGGCAAACUCGAAUUGAAACUCAGGAAAGAAAGAGAAGAGAAAAGCACACCUUAAUAGAGAUGAAAGUUGCAUGAGAACAAAAGGUAAGAGAUACAAAAAGAGAAGUUUGACAAAAUUACAUAAAAUGAAAAGGAGACAAAUGAUUCCAUUUACAUGAUAGAAUAGUCAAAUUCAUAGAAACAGAAAGUAGAACAGUGGUUACUAAGGGCUGGGGCAGGGGGCAAGGGAAGCGGUUAUGGUAACAGAGCUACUGCUUGAUGGGGACAGAGUUUCAAUUUGGAAUGAUGAAAAAGUUCUGGAGGUAAAUAGUGGCGAUGAUUGCACAACAUUGUGAAUGUACUUAAUGCCACUGAAUUGUUCACUUAAAAUGAUUAAAAUGGUAAAAUAUACAUAAAAGAUACAAAAAAUACAUAAAACAUGUGGAUGUAAGUUUUCAACUCAUUUGGGUAAAUAGCUUAUUUGGGUAUGUGCUUAUUGGAGACCUAUGCUUAGCUUUGUAAGAAACUGCAAAACUCUUCCAAAGUGGCUGUACCAUUCAUCAUGCAUUCGUACCAAUAUAUAAGAGUUCCUGCUGUGCCACAUCCUUGCCAGCAUUUGGUGGUGUAAGUGCUUUGGAUUUUAGCCAUUCUCAUAGGUGUGUAGUGGUAUCUCAUUGUUUUAUUGCCAAUUCCCUGAUGACACAUAAUGUUGAGUAUCUUUACACAUCUUUAUUUGCCAUCUGUAUAGAUUCUUCGGUGAGGUGUCUGUUUAAACCAUUUUUAAUUGGGUUGCUUUUUAUUGUUGAGUUUAAAUAGUUAUUUGUAUAUUUUAGAUAAAUAGUCUUUUAUAUAAGCUAUGUUUUUACAAAGAUUUUCUCAUAAUCCUUGGCUUGUCUUUUCAUUCUAUUAACAGUGUUUUUUUACAGAGCAAGUUUUAAAUUUUAAUGAAGUCCAUUUUAUGAAUUUUUUCUUUCAUGAAUUGUGCUUUUGGUUUUGUAUCUAAAAAGUCAUUGCCAAACCCAAGGCCACCUAGAUGUUCUCCUGUGUUAUCCUAGGAGUUUUAUAGUGAUGCAUGUCAGGAAGAAAAGAAAGAUACAAGAUUUUUCUCUAGGUUUUGGUUUUGUUUUAUUUUUUGGCAUGUGGAUAUCUAGUUGUUUCAGUACCAUUUGUCAAACAAGCUGUCCUUUCUCCAUUGAAUUGCUUUUGUUUCUUUGUCAAACCUUAGUUGACUGUAUUAGUGUGAAUCCAUUUUCAGUUUUGUAUUCUGUUCUAUUUAUUUGUCUAUUCAGUCAUCAAUGCCACAUUAUUGUGUUUACCUUUAUGGUAAAUCCUGUAGUUGGUAGUGUCAGUCUACCAACUUUGUUCUUCAACAUUGUGUUGGCUAUUCUGGGUUUUUGCUUUUCCAUGUCAUCUUUAGAAUCAAGUUGGUCAAUAUCCACAAAAUAAACUGCUAGAUUUUGAUUGAGAGUGUUGAAUCCAUGUAUCAAGUUGAGAAGAACUGGCAUCUUUUCAACUUCAACUCUUCAUUUUCAUGAACAUGGACUGUCUCUUUAUUUAUUUACAUCUCCUUUGGUUUCUUACAUCAGAAUUUUGUAGUUUUCCUCAUAUAGAUCUUGUAUAUAUUUAGAUUUAUAUCUAAGUAUUUCCGCCCCUUUUUGGUGCUAAUGUAAGUGGUGUUUUUAAUUUUAAUUUCAAAUCCAAAGUGUUCAUUGCUAUUGUAUAGUAAAAUAAUUGACUUUGUAUAAUAACUUUCAUCCUGAUACCAUGCUAUAAUCACUUAUUAGUUCCAGAAAUCUUUUUUGUUGAUUAUUUGGGAUGUUCUACCUUGAUAACCAUGUUAUCUGUGAACAAAGGCAGCUUAAUUUCUUUCUUCCUAAUAUGUAUACAUUUCCUUUAUUUGUCUUAUUACAUUAGCUAAAACUUCAGUUACGAUGUUGAAAAUGAGUGGUGAGAGGGGACAUCCUUGCUUUGUUCCUAAUAUUAGCAGGAAGGCAUGCAGCUUCUUUUGACUAAUAUGUUAUCUGUAGAAUUUUGUAGAUGUUUGUGAUCCAAGUGAG
Molecule: long non-coding RNA, 6282 nt
Filed under: Homo sapiens (human)
Lineage: Eukaryota; Metazoa; Chordata; Mammalia; Primates; Hominidae
Description: non-protein coding lnc-SLC47A2-2:6
Source: RNAcentral